This 354-nucleotide ribosomal RNA is filed under the name uncultured Glomeraceae. Its description in RNAcentral is "bacterial SSU rRNA". It matches the Rfam family "Eukaryotic small subunit ribosomal RNA", at positions 569 to 929 of the family's 1831-position model. The record is from RNAcentral. Lineage: Eukaryota; Fungi; Glomeromycota; Glomeromycetes; Glomerales; Glomeraceae.
AGCAGCUCCCGUAAUUCCAGCUCCAAUAGCGUAUAUUAAAGUUGUUGCAGUUAAAAAGCUCGUAGUUGAAUUUCGGGAUCAUCAGGUUGGUCGUGCCUCUGGUAUGUACUUUCCUCGAUGGUUCCUCCUUCUUGAAGAACCGUAAUGCCAUUAAUUUGGUGUUGCGGGAAACCAGGACCUUUACCUUGAAAAAAUUAGAGUGUUCAAAGCAGGCUUAUGUCUGAAUACAUUAGCAUGGAAUAAUAAAAUAGGACGGUGGUCCUGUUUUGUUGGUUUCUGAAUCACCGUAAUGAUUAAUAGGGAUAGUUGGGGGCAUUAGUAUUCAAUUGUCAGAGGUGAAAUUCUUGGAUUUAU